Molecule: ribosomal RNA, 332 nt
Filed under: uncultured eukaryote
Lineage: Eukaryota
Description: partial 18S ribosomal RNA
Rfam family: Eukaryotic small subunit ribosomal RNA
Source: RNAcentral
CCCUUAGAUGUUCUGGGCUGCACACGUGCUACACUGGCAGGUUCAGCGAGCUUCAUUCCCUGAUCUGAAAGGAAUGGGAAAUCUUUUCAAAACCUGCCGUGCUUGGGAUAGAUGUUUGCAAUUAUUCAUCUUCAACGAGGAUUGCCUUGUAAGCGCACGUCAUCAGCGUGCAUUGAAUACGACCCUGUAUUCUGUACACACCGCCCGUCGCUCCUACCGAUUGAAGUUUUCGGUGAGUUGACAGGAGGAUUUUUUUGAAACUGGUUCGCCAGUGGAUUUUAGAUCCAAAUGCCAACGAAUCGAUGGCUUUAGAGGAAGGAGAAGUCGUAACA